UACGGAGGGCGCGAGCGUUGUCCGGAAUCACUGGGCGUAAAGGGCGCGUAGGCGGCCCUGGUAAGUCUGCGGUGAAAGCCCGGGGCUCAACCCCGGGUCGGCCGCGGGUACUGCCGGGCUGGAGUGCCGUAGGGGCAGGCGGAAUUCCGGGUGUAGCGGUGGAAUGCGUAGAGAUCCGGAAGAACACCGGUGGCGAAGGCGGGUCUCUGGGCCAUUACUGACGCUGAGGAGCGAAAGCGUGGGGAGCGAACAGG
RNAcentral lists this ribosomal RNA (254 nucleotides) under uncultured bacterium. RNAcentral describes it as "partial 16S ribosomal RNA". It matches the Rfam family "Bacterial small subunit ribosomal RNA", at positions 524 to 776 of the family's 1533-position model. The record is from RNAcentral.